This 253-nucleotide ribosomal RNA is filed under the name uncultured bacterium. Its description in RNAcentral is "partial 16S ribosomal RNA". It matches the Rfam family "Bacterial small subunit ribosomal RNA", at positions 524 to 776 of the family's 1533-position model. The record is from RNAcentral.
UACGUAGGGGGCCAGCGUUGCUCGGAAUUACUGGGCGUAAAGCGUGCGCAGGCGGCUUUGCAAGACAGAUGUGAAAUCCCCGGGCUCAACCUGGGAACUGCAUUUGUGACUGCAAGGCUAGAGUACGGGAGAGGGGGAUGGAAUUCCGCGUGUAGCAGUGAAAUGCGUAGAUAUGCGGAGGAACACCGAUGGCGAAGGCAAUCCACUGGACCUGUACUGACGCUCAUGCGCGAAAGCGUGGGGAGCAAACAGG